AGUAUUGUAAGGGGUUGCUGCAGGAGCUCACUGCCUUCUGGGGCGCUCCCGUUUCCUGCCCUGUGACAGGGCAGGAAACGGGAGUGCCCCAGAAAGCUGUGCACUCCUGCAGCCACACGGGAGGCUGCCCCACUGCCUUGCGCCCCAGAAGGCAGUGGGGCAGCCUUCCAAAACCCGAGACACUUGG
Molecule: long non-coding RNA, 187 nt
Organism: Sphaerodactylus townsendi
Lineage: Eukaryota; Metazoa; Chordata; Lepidosauria; Squamata; Sphaerodactylidae
Exons: 3
Source: RefSeq, a predicted model, not a curated record